CAUGUCCAAGUAUAAGCACUUAUAUUGUGAAACUGCGAAUGGCUCAUUAAAUCAGUUAUCGUUUAUUUGAUAGUACCUUUACCUGGAUAACCGUGGUAAUUCUAGAGCUAAUACAUGCUAAAAACCCCGACUUCGGGAGGGGUGUAUUUAUUAGAUAAAAAACCAAUGCCCUCUGGGCUCCUUGGUGAUUCAUAAUAACUAAACGAAUCGCAUGGCCUUGCGCCGGCGAUGGUUCAUUCAAAUUUCUGCCCUAUCAACUUUCGAUUGUAAGAUAGAGGCUUACAAUGGUCUUAACGGGUAACGGAGAAUAAGGGUUCGGUUCCGGAGAGGGAGCCUGAGAAACGGCUACCACAUCCAAGGAAGGCAGCAGGCGCGCAAAUUACCCAAUGCUAAUUCAGCGAGGUAGUGACAAUAAAUACUGAUACGGGGCUCUUUCGGGUCUCGUAAUUGGAAUGAGUACAAUCUAAAUCCCUUAACGAGGAACAAUUGGAGGGCAAGUCUGGUGCCAGCAGCCGCGGUAAUUCCAGCUCCAAUAGCGUAUAUUAAAGUUGUUGCCGUUAAAAAGCUCGUAGUUGAACCUUGGACCUGGCUGAUCUGUCCUCCUCAUCGAGCGCACGGAUUCGGUCGGGUCUUUCCUUCUGGGGAACCCGAUGCCCUUUACUGGGUGUCGUGGGGAACCAGGACUUUUACCUUGAAAAAAUUAGAGUGUUCAAAGCAGGCCUUUGCUCGAAUACAUUAGCAUGGAAUAAUAAAAUAGGACAUCGGUUCUAUUUUGUUGGUUUCUAGGACCGCUGUAAUGAUUAAUAGGGAUAGUCGGGGGCGUCAGUAUUCAAUUGUCAGAGGUGAAAUUCUUGGAUUUAUUGAAGACUAACUACUGCGAAAGCAUUCGCCAAGGAUGUUUUCAUUAAUCAGUGAACGAAAGUUAGGGGAUCGAAGACGAUCAGAUACCGUCGUAGUCUUAACCAUAAACUAUGCCGACUAGGGAUCGGACGGUGGUUUUUUUAUGCCCCGUUCGGCACCUUACGAGAAAUCAAAGUUUUUGGGCUCGGGGGGAG
RNAcentral lists this ribosomal RNA (1055 nucleotides) under Chaetothyriales sp. CR07/2-2. RNAcentral describes it as "SSU rRNA". It matches the Rfam family "Eukaryotic small subunit ribosomal RNA", at positions 54 to 1123 of the family's 1831-position model. The record is from RNAcentral. Lineage: Eukaryota; Fungi; Ascomycota; Eurotiomycetes; Chaetothyriales.